This 27-nucleotide non-coding RNA is filed under the name Homo sapiens (human). Lineage: Eukaryota; Metazoa; Chordata; Mammalia; Primates; Hominidae. The record is from RNAcentral.
GUUGGGUGUGAUGGCACAAUCCUGUGU